UCACUGUUAUACUGAUAGAAAAAUUCUGCCUGCUUGUUCGAAACAUUAGUGACAUUUUUCGAGUGUGGCUUGUACUGCUAACAAGAACUUUACUUUUAUUCCCUUUCUCUCUAGCCAAAAGGAUCUUCCCAAGUAGCUAAACAGACACAAGGAAGUCCAAAUAGUAUUUCUUCGGGAUCAAACCAUGGAGAAGAUGAUGCUGCGGUAUUGCCGCCAUCGGUAUCAUCUUCAAUUAGCAAGAGUCAGUUUUCGGAAACUGAAAAUUCACAAGAGGACAGUGGUAAUUCAGUAGAGACAGAGGUUGUGGCAGCACCAAGAUAUGGUUCACAAGGUCCUCUACUAGCUUCUUACAGUAACACACCAAAGCUUACUCCCCCGGGUUCCCCUCCAAGUUAUCCUCCACGAAGAACACUGUCUAAA
Molecule: long non-coding RNA, 420 nt
Organism: Papaver somniferum (opium poppy)
Lineage: Eukaryota; Viridiplantae; Streptophyta; Magnoliopsida; Ranunculales; Papaveraceae
Exons: 3
Source: RefSeq, a predicted model, not a curated record